GACGAACGCUGGCGGCGUGCUUAACACAUGCAAGUCGAGCGGAAAGGCCCUGCUUUUGUGGGGUGCUCGAGUGGCGAACGGGUGAGUAACACGUGAGUAACCUGCCCUUGACUUUGGGAUAACUUCAGGAAACUGGGGCUAAUACCGGAUAGGAGCUCCUGCUGCAUGGUGGGGGUUGGAAAGUUUCGGCGGUUGGGGAUGGACUCGCGGCUUAUCAGCUUGUUGGUGGGGUAGUGGCUUACCAAGGCUUUGACGGGUAGCCGGCCUGAGAGGGUGACCGGCCACAUGGGGACUGAGAUACGGCCCAGACUCCUACGGGAGGCAGCAGUGGGGAAUAUUGCACAAUGGGCGGAAGCCUGAUGCAGCAACGCCGCGUGCGGGAUGACGGCCUUCGGGUUGUAAACCGCUUUCGCCUGUGACGAAGCGUGAGUGACGGUAAUGGGUAAAGAAGCACCGGCUAACUACGUG
Molecule: ribosomal RNA, 468 nt
Filed under: uncultured bacterium
Lineage: Bacteria
Description: partial 16S ribosomal RNA
Rfam family: Bacterial small subunit ribosomal RNA
Source: RNAcentral